RNAcentral lists this transfer RNA (68 nucleotides) under Pedetontus zhejiangensis. Its description in RNAcentral is "tRNA-Ser". Lineage: Eukaryota; Metazoa; Arthropoda; Insecta; Archaeognatha; Machilidae. The record is from RNAcentral.
AACUGUUUAACUAUUACAAGUUUAUGUCUUGAAAACAUAAAAUAGCUAUUAAAUUUAGCUAACAGUUU